Molecule: ribosomal RNA, 510 nt
Filed under: uncultured bacterium
Lineage: Bacteria
Description: partial 16S ribosomal RNA
Rfam family: Bacterial small subunit ribosomal RNA
Source: RNAcentral
GACGAACGCUGGCGGCGUGCUUAACACAUGCAAGUCGAACGAAGAGCGAUGGACGCUUGCUUCUAUCAAUCUUAGUGGCGAACGGGUGAGUAACGCGUAAUCAACCUGCCCUUCAGAGGGGGACAACAGUUGGAAACGACUGCUAAUACCGCAUACGAUCUAAUCUCGGCAUCGAGGAUAGAUGAAAGGUGGCCUCUACAUGUAAGCUAUCACUGAAGGAGGGGAUUGCGUCUGAUUAGCUAGUUGGAGGGGUAACGGCCCACCAAGGCGAUGAUCAGUAGCCGGUCUGAGAGGAUGAACGGCCACAUUGGGACUGAGACACGGCCCAGACUCCUACGGGAGGCAGCAGGGGGGAAUCUUCCGCAAUGGACGAAAGUCUGACGGAGCAACGCCGCGUGAGCGAUGACGGCCUUCGGGUUGUAAAGCUCGGUUAAUCGGGACGAAAGGCCUUCUUGCGAAUAGGGAGAAGGAUUGACGGUACCGGAAUAGAAAGCCACGGCUAACUACGUG